AGUGGUAACGGCACCCCAUGGCAACGAUAGGUAGGGGUCCUGAGAGGGAGAUCCCCCACACUGGUACUGAGACACGGACCAGACUCCUACGGGAGGCAGCAGUGAGGAAUAUUGGACAAUGGACGCAAGUCUGAUCCAGCCAUGCCGCGUGCAGGAAGACGGCCCUAUGGGUUGUAAACUGCUUUUAUACAAGAAGAAUAA
Molecule: ribosomal RNA, 201 nt
Filed under: uncultured bacterium
Lineage: Bacteria
Description: partial 16S ribosomal RNA
Rfam family: Bacterial small subunit ribosomal RNA
Source: RNAcentral